Molecule: long non-coding RNA, 367 nt
Filed under: Capsicum annuum
Lineage: Eukaryota; Viridiplantae; Streptophyta; Magnoliopsida; Solanales; Solanaceae
Description: long non-coding RNA (CANN_LNC012485)
Source: RNAcentral
UUUCUCAAAAAAAACACAAUUUCUAAUAGGGAUUCACGACCCAAAUAUCAAAAUCAUGAUAAAUAUCGUUCAAGAUUCACGCUUUAUAUCUCCACACAUGUAAAUUUAUCUUUUAAACUCAUAAACAUCAAGAUUUCAUAAUAAUCAUCAUAAGAUAUGGGUUCAUGCUUCAAAUUCGUAAAAAUCAAAUAAAAAUCAUGCCUUUGUAAAGAAAAUUACUUUUGGGCACAAGAACGAAAGAGAGUUCUUCUUGAAAAACGCCACAUACCUUGAAUGAUGAACUUUAGAUAGAUACUCAUUUUUGAGAUGUUAAUCAUGCCUUUGAAUGAUGGUUCUUGGAGUUUUUGAACUAGGCACCUGGAAUCUU